ACCAGGCACGCGGCUGCCUCAGCACCACCAGCCAUGCUUCUACCUCAGAACCUUUGCAUUUGCUGUUCCCUCUUCCUGGAACACUAUUCUAUGUCCACAUGGCUUUCUUCCUCAUUUCCUUCAGGGAUUUGCUCAAAUAUUCUGUUUUUAGUGAGGCUUCCCCUGAAUAUCUUUUAAAAAAUAAAAAUCACUCUCCCUCAGGCCUUCCUGAUCCUCUCUUCCAAUCUUAUUUUUCUUCAUUGAAAUUUUUUUUUUUGAGACAGAGUUUCUCUCUGUCGCCAAGGCUGGAGAGCAGUGGCACAAUCACAGCUCACUGCAGACUCAACCUUCUGGGCUCAAGUGAUCCUUCUCUCAACCUCCCAAGUAGCUGGGUCCACAGACACGUGCCAUCAUGCCCGGUUAUCUUUUAUUUUUAUUUUUUUGAAUAGACGAUGUAUCACCAUGUUGCCCAGGCUUCUCACAAACUCCCCCCGAGUGAUCCGCCCGCCUUGGCCUUCCAAAAUGCUGGGGUUACAUGUGUGAGCCACCGUGCCCGGCUCCUCCGUCCCUUACCCUUUCACAUGCUGUGUAGUUGUUUACCUGUUAUCUGUCUCCACUCACUAACUUACAAGCUCCAUAAGAGCAGGG
RNAcentral lists this long non-coding RNA (627 nucleotides) under Homo sapiens (human). Its description in RNAcentral is "non-protein coding lnc-IFRD1-3:1". The record is from RNAcentral. Lineage: Eukaryota; Metazoa; Chordata; Mammalia; Primates; Hominidae.